AUAAUAGACCCAAAGUGGACUAUUUGACAUGAUAAUAUAGCGGAUGUGCGAGGUUUCCAAAAUGAUUCCGUAGUUAUAAAAUUCCGAUGAAAAAGUUUGUCAAAACGGACCGAAUUACAAAACGAAAAUGGAACGUUUUGGAACGUUGGUGUUUCAUACUGUGACGGUAUAUAAAAAAAAAGUUAAAGUAUGUUUUGGUAUAUUUCUGAUGGUUAUAGGCUUUUCACACUGACGACCAUCCACCAUCCAUUUCGGGGAUGGUCCGUAAGGUUUUUUCGUUCUGAAAAUUUCCCAGUUAAUUCACCAUCCAUUUUGGAUGUUCCUAAACCGCACGUUUCUAUGCGAUAGUUAGUCGAUGGUUUUCAAAUGCAACUCUGAAUAAUUGUCAUUCACAAUGGAAAAAUGGUAUUCACUGCGAAAACGUAAACAAUGAUUGUGACAAAAUUAACAAAAAACAAAAACAACAACAGAACAGCUCGGAAGGACAGCAGACCAAAAACUUAUUAAUAAAAUGGAUUUAGUGCCAGAAAACUCCUCCAGUGCGCAAUGGCGAUGCGCUUUUCCAAAGGAAUUGCAGCUCGGCAGUUGGUGUCCUUCUUUCGCAGCACUUCAAGCCGAUUCACUAAA
This 627-nucleotide unclassified non-coding RNA is filed under the name Drosophila pseudoobscura pseudoobscura. RNAcentral describes it as "GA32699". Lineage: Eukaryota; Metazoa; Arthropoda; Insecta; Diptera; Drosophilidae. The record is from RNAcentral.